RNAcentral lists this unclassified non-coding RNA (240 nucleotides) under soil metagenome. RNAcentral describes it as "partial contains 5.8S ribosomal RNA, internal transcribed spacer 2, and large subunit ribosomal RNA". The record is from RNAcentral.
AACCAUAGAAACCUGCGGAGUACCUGCGGAGGGAUCAUCGAAGAAUAUUAUUGUAUUCCUUUAUAAAAAAAAGAAGGAGGGGGGGGGAAGGAGGGUAGAAAGGAUCUUCUUCUUUACGGGGAAGUUCCCUCUCUCUCUUUUUCUCUUUCCUCUUUUUUUUUUUACAAACAAACGAUCGCAACUAUCUCAAUAGAUAUAAUCUGGCUUGGCUUGGUUGGUUGGAGAGGAGGGGGGAAGAAA